Long non-coding RNA from Bradysia coprophila, 110 nucleotides. The record is from RefSeq and is a predicted model, not a curated record. NCBI's taxonomy places the organism in Eukaryota, Metazoa, Arthropoda, Insecta, Diptera, Sciaridae.
GUUGUGUAUGAAAAUUUUUUUCAUGCUAGCGAUGCGAAAAUCCUUAUUUUUUUCCACUAUGAAAAUGGCGUUUUGUUGUCAUUCCGAGAGGCGCCAUUUUUGGUGAGAAA